ACGUAAAUAUUAGUAUUUUGUAUGUUUGAUUUAUUUCUUUGCAGUUUAUAUGCUUCAGUAGUGCACAACAGUAGUAUAUAUUCAAUCUCCAUGCAAAAUGAGAGGGGAUGUAGGAGAUGUGAACUUUGAGGUAUUAGUUGGGGAAUCGUAGUUUGAAUGUUAGGUUGGAGCUGUUCUGAAAGUUACAUCACCAGGAGAUGACAUAAUCGACGAUCCUGCUUGUGUUUGAAGACAAUGUGCUAGCCGUGGAAAUUUUGAUGGAAGAUCAAGAAGUGCAGCAGCAAAAUUAAGGACAUCAAUUACUUCGGUCAUUGACGGCCGAAAAGAGUAAUCUGGGUGAGCACACCAGAGCCCAAUAGUCAUCAAACAUUCCAUCUGUUUCUUUGUAAAAUCUCCAUGGAGUUUCUGAUCAGCUGCCUUGAGAAGCUUUCCACUUCCAUGGUACUCCCAUACCCAUUUUACUAUGUGUACCUGGCUCCCGUCUUCCCUUUGCACAAAGGGUUUUCUUCCACAAGCAAUCUCCAAGGCCACAACACAAAGCUGAAGACAUCUGAUUCUUUGUUCGACUUUCCUGUGUCCAAACAUUCAGGAGCAAUAUAUCCAUGGCUCCCACCCUGUAAAGUUCGAGAUCGCCUGUCAUGUUCCUGAAGCUGAGCUAACCCGAAAUCUCCAGGCAUAGGGUUGAAAUCUGAAUCCAACAUCACAUUGCUUGACUUGAUGUCUCUGUGCAACACGCAUUGUCUCUGUCUCCAUCCAUGGUGUAAGUAAUGCAACCCAGAGGCCAAACCUUGAGCAAUUUUGAACCUCUGCGCCCACUUCAGCAAGCAUUCCUUGUUGAAUAGAUGGAAAUCUAGACUGCGAUUUUCCAAGAACUCAUAAACAAGUAGGAAUUGCUUUCGCUCAUGGCACCAACCAAUUAGUUGAACCAAAUUCUUGUGCCU
Molecule: unclassified non-coding RNA, 941 nt
Filed under: Hevea brasiliensis (rubber tree)
Lineage: Eukaryota; Viridiplantae; Streptophyta; Magnoliopsida; Malpighiales; Euphorbiaceae
Source: RNAcentral